AGCCAAGAGAUAUGCAGGUUGUGCUUAGCAGCCGAUCAGUUUGAGACCUGCGAGGCCGCAUCCCCAGGGUUUUUCAUCUCUUCUGUUUCCAUUUGUGUGAGUACAGAAAAAAUAAUUCUAUCAAGGGGCAUCAUGGGAUGUGGGAAAUUAUAAGCACUAAAACACAGAACAACUUAGGGAGCUAUGCACCCAGGAGGAAUUCAUGACCACAUAGGGGGGAAAAAAUAAGAGUUUCUGGUGGGGAGUGGAGUAAUAGUUUUUUUUUUUUUCUUUUCUUUUCUUUUUGAGACAGAGUUUCACACUGUCGCCCGGGCUGGAGUGCAAUGGCACAAUCUCGGCUCACUGCAACCACCUGCCGGGUUCUCGCAAUUCUGCCUCAGUCUCCGGAGUAGCUGGAUUUUUUUUUUCCCUCACUCUAUAGGAAAUCCAUUUGCUGUAAUUUAUAUCCAUCAUUAAAUCUCACCAUAUCCAUUUGACUUAGGCCUUUUGGAGUUAGGCAGAAGGGCCCUUCUUCCUGUUUGGCUGACAGCUCAAGUUCCCAGGCAGCCUCAGUAAACUGAGAGAUAGAGCAGAGUGAUUCGUCAAGACUACCUUGUGACUCAGUCAGAUCCCAAAAUAGAAAUGGGGAAACUCUGUUUCAAUCUUGCAGGCUGUAAUUUAAGGAGGAAAACAACUAAUUUUUUUUUGGGUGGGGGGGACAGAGUCUCUGUCUCCCAGGCUGGAGUGCA
RNAcentral lists this long non-coding RNA (728 nucleotides) under Homo sapiens (human). RNAcentral's name for it is "non-protein coding PIK3IP1-AS1:5". Lineage: Eukaryota; Metazoa; Chordata; Mammalia; Primates; Hominidae. The record is from RNAcentral.